CCUACGGGUGGCAGCAGUGAGGAAUAUUGGUCAAUGGCCGAGAGGCUGAACCAGCCAAGUCGCGUGAGGGAAGAAUGUCCUAUGGAUUGUAAACCUCUUUUGUCAGGGAGCAAAGUCACCCACGUGUGGGUGUUGGAGAGUACCUGAAGAAAAAGCAUCGGCUAACUCCGUGCAAGCAGCCGCGGUACUACGGAGGAUGCGAGCGUUCUCCGGAUUUAUUGGGUUUAAAGGGUGCGUAGGCGGGUUAUCAAGUCAGCGGUAAAAUCGUGGAGCUCAACUCCAUCCAGCCGUUGAAACUGAUGAUCGUGAGUGGGCGAGAAGUAUGCGGAAUGCGUGGUGUAGCGGUGAAAUGCAUAGAUAUCACGCAGAACUCCGAUUGCGAAGGCAGCAUACCGGCGCCCGACUGACGCUGAAGCACGAAAGCGUGGGUAUCGAACAGGAUUAGAUACCCGAGUAGUC
This 459-nucleotide ribosomal RNA is filed under the name uncultured bacterium. RNAcentral's name for it is "partial 16S ribosomal RNA". It matches the Rfam family "Bacterial small subunit ribosomal RNA", at positions 338 to 795 of the family's 1533-position model. The record is from RNAcentral.